RNAcentral lists this ribosomal RNA (690 nucleotides) under uncultured bacterium. RNAcentral describes it as "bacterial SSU rRNA". It matches the Rfam family "Bacterial small subunit ribosomal RNA", at positions 141 to 851 of the family's 1533-position model. The record is from RNAcentral.
GGAUAACAUACCGAAAGGUAUGCUAAUACGGGAUAAUAUAUUUGAGAGGCAUCUCUUAAAUAUCAAAGGUGAGCCAGUACAGGAUGGACCCGCGUCUGAUUAGCUAGUUGGUAAGGUAACGGCUUACCAAGGCGACGAUCAGUAGCCGACCUGAGAGGGUGAUCGGCCACAUUGGAACUGAGACACGGUCCAAACUCCUACGGGAGGCAGCAGUGGGGAAUAUUGCACAAUGGGCGAAAGCCUGAUGCAGCAACGCCGCGUGAGUGAUGAAGGCCUUCGGGUCGUAAAACUCUGUCCUCAAGGAAGAUAAUGACGGUACUUGAGGAGGAAGCCCCGGCUAACUACGUGCCAGCAGCCGCGGUAAUACGUAGGGGGCUAGCGUUAUCCGGACUUACUGGGCGUAAAGGGUGCGUAGGCGGUCUUUCAAGUCAGGAGUGAAAGGCUACGGCUCAACCGUAGUAAGCUCUUGAAACUGGGAGACUUGAGUGCAGGAGAGGAGAGUGGAAUUCCUAGUGUAGCGGUGAAAUGCGUAGAUAUUAGGAGGAACACCAGUUGCGAAGGCGGCUCUCUGGACUGUAACUGACGCUGAGGCACGAAAGCGUGGGGAGCAAACAGGAUUAGAUACCCUGGUAGUCCACGCUGUAAACGGUGAGUACUAGGUGUCGGGGGUUACCCCCCUCGGUGCCGCCG